This 254-nucleotide ribosomal RNA is filed under the name uncultured bacterium. RNAcentral describes it as "partial 16S ribosomal RNA". It matches the Rfam family "Bacterial small subunit ribosomal RNA", at positions 524 to 776 of the family's 1533-position model. The record is from RNAcentral.
UACGUAUGGGCCUAGCGUUGUCCGGAUUUCUUGGGCGUAAAGAGCUCGUAGGCGGUUCGGCAAGUUGGAUGUGAAAUCUCCACGCUCAACGUGGAGCGGCCAUCCGAAACUGCUGUGACUCGAGUCCGGUAGGGGAGUGUGGAAUUCCCGGUGUAGCGGUGAAAUGCGCAGAUAUCGGGAGGAACACCGAUGGCGAAGGCAGCUCGCUGGGACGGUACUGACGCUGAGGCGCGAAAGCGUGGGGAGCGAACAGG